RNAcentral lists this ribosomal RNA (673 nucleotides) under Escherichia coli. RNAcentral's name for it is "partial 23S ribosomal RNA". It matches the Rfam family "Bacterial large subunit ribosomal RNA", at positions 2249 to 2915 of the family's 2925-position model. The record is from RNAcentral. Lineage: Bacteria; Pseudomonadati; Pseudomonadota; Gammaproteobacteria; Enterobacterales; Enterobacteriaceae.
GGACAGUGUCUGGUGGGUAGUUUGACUGGGGCGGUCUCCUCCUAAAGAGUAACGGAGGAGCACGAAGGUUGGCUAAUCCUGGUCGGACAUCAGGAGGUUAGUGCAAUGGCAUAAGCCAGCUUGACUGCGAGCGUGACGGCGCGAGCAGGUGCGAAAGCAGGUCAUAGUGAUCCGGUGGUUCUGAAUGGAAGGGCCAUCGCUCAACGGAUAAAAGGUACUCCGGGGAUAACAGGCUGAUACCGCCCAAGAGUUCAUAUCGACGGCGGUGUUUGGCACCUCGAUGUCGGCUCAUCACAUCCUGGGGCUGAAGUAGGUCCCAAGGGUAUGGCUGUUCGCCAUUUAAAGUGGUACGCGAGCUGGGUUUAGAACGUCGUGAGACAGUUCGGUCCCUAUCUGCCGUGGGCGCUGGAGAACUGAGGGGGGCUGCUCCUAGUACGAGAGGACCGGAGUGGACGCAUCACUGGUGUUCGGGUUGUCAUGCCAAUGGCACUGCCCGGUAGCUAAAUGCGGAAGAGAUAAGUGCUGAAAGCAUCUAAGCACGAAACUUGCCCCGAGAUGAGUUCUCCCUGACUCCUUGAGAGUCCUGAAGGAACGUUGAAGACGACGACGUUGAUAGGCCGGGUGUGUAAGCGCAGCGAUGCGUUGAGCUAACCGGUACUAAUGAACCGUGAGG